RNAcentral lists this microRNA precursor (205 nucleotides) under Aegilops tauschii. RNAcentral describes it as "miR2118a stem-loop (ata-MIR2118a)". The record is from miRBase by way of RNAcentral. Lineage: Eukaryota; Viridiplantae; Streptophyta; Magnoliopsida; Poales; Poaceae.
GUUGUGUGCUUUCCUAAUGUCUCCCAUUCCUAUGGUUCUUGAGCACUCCUUCCUCUUCCUUUUCGCUUGUGCAAUAGAUUAAUUCAUAAACCAUAAAUAUGUGUGCACAUACCUAGAUAACCUGAGAUCUAGAAGGCUAGUCGAGAAGAGGAAGAAAAGAGAGCUUGAGAGCAGUGGGAAUGGGAACAUGGAGGAAACCCUAACU